AUCUAGCUGACGAGUCCCAAAUAGGACGAAACUUACAU
Molecule: non-coding RNA, 38 nt
Filed under: Schistosoma margrebowiei
Lineage: Eukaryota; Metazoa; Platyhelminthes; Trematoda; Strigeidida; Schistosomatidae
Source: RNAcentral